GGCUCUGUGGCGCAAUGGACAGCGCAUUGGACUUCUAGGAGAGAAGAAGGCAUUAAAGGUUGUGGGUUCGAGUCCCACCAGAGUCA
Molecule: transfer RNA, 86 nt
Filed under: Danionella translucida
Lineage: Eukaryota; Metazoa; Chordata; Actinopteri; Cypriniformes; Danionidae
Also listed under: 1 other name
Rfam family: tRNA
About the family: Transfer RNA (tRNA) molecules are approximately 80 nucleotides in length. Their secondary structure includes four short double-helical elements and three loops (D, anti-codon, and T loops). Further hydrogen bonds mediate the characteristic L-shaped molecular structure. tRNAs have two regions of fundamental functional importance: the anti-codon, which is responsible for specific mRNA codon recognition, and the 3' end, to which the tRNAs corresponding amino acid is attached (by aminoacyl-tRNA synthetases). tRNAs cope with the degeneracy of the genetic code in two manners: having more than one tRNA (with a specific anti-codon) for a particular amino acid; and 'wobble' base-pairing, i.e. permitting non-standard base-pairing at the 3rd anti-codon position.
Source: Rfam by way of RNAcentral